GCCUUACAUAACCGUCCAUCCGAGUGGUGUGGACGCUAGGGACGGCGUGCGGGGAGCUCGGCACCGGCGGUAACCUUGUCAACAGCGGCGCGGCCAUGAGGCCUGCGUCACGUCCCUCCUGACGUGUUGUCAUGCGUUCACUACGACUCGCCUACCUGUGCUGUCGUCCGCUCGGCCUCUUCACGACGAUCCCGAGGAGCGAGGGCCGGAACCAGUUGGCUGCUUCACUUCCAUGUGGAGCGUGCUCGCCGUGACCCACUUGACUCGCUCGCCUCCAGCAGACGGGACUUCUCAUCCACCGCUAGCUCGCCCGGACGUGUUUGCGCUCACACGCGCCGCUGCGGGCUGCGAAUCCGCCUCGGAACCCGCUGAAAGUUGUGCGUCAGCCGAGCGGCCGGCAGGUGGACCCGCCGCUGGUGUUGACAAACAAGGCUGCGUGGGCAACACACCACUCUCGGCUGCUAGCGCAGCGCGGCUAGCCCGGCCAGCUAACCCGCCUGCUACAGCCGCGGCGGGCUGCCAAAGUCCGCUCCGCCGGAGCCUGACUCGGGUUCCAGCAGCACCGGGGGGCUCGGAAGCAACUCCUCGUGUGACUUGUGCGGGGUUUCCGUGCGUCAGCGGCGGCCCGCUGGCGUCGUUGAAGCCGACUCGUCGCUCCGCUCGCUGCUCUCCGCCAUUUCCACUCUCAACACAAACAAACAGGCAAGCGCGCGCGCGCCAAGCUGCCGCGCGCGCCCCCGCCGCGGGAGCGCGCCGCCGCCGCUCGGCGUCAAAACAAAACCAUUUUCGAUGUUACAUUGAAACUCUCUGAGAAAUCUGUCGUGUCGGGAUGUGGACAAACCGGACACACGCAACACGUUACACACACACACACGCACGCACGCACCAGGCUCGAGUCGUUGACCUCGCGGUCACAUGCGCACGCGCUUUGAUCAACAACGAACCUAUGACAGAUUGAGGUGUGUGUGUGUGUGUCGGGGAGCAGACACACCUCACCACCACUGGACCUCGACCUCCCUCUCACAGGUAAACGAUCAACACACAAUCUGAAAGCAGUGAUGACACGAGAACACGCCCUCGAAAUCAGUGGGAAUCAUGACUCAACUAUUUCCACGCACACAAACAAGGACACACGUGCACAUGCAGAGCCCCCCCAACAUAGACGCACAACGGAGCGAGCUCAUUCAGAUCUCCAGUGAGGAGGAGAAGAAAGAGCUGAGCCAGGAGCUGUGGCUCACUCCACAGGUGAGAGGAGGCUCUCUGUCUGGAGAGGCUUGAUGACGCCGUCCUCUGAAGCCACGGAGCAGGGAAGUGUGCGGCUCCUCACCUUUCACACAGCCUCAAGCAAGGCACACUCAAAGCAGCUGAGUCAGCGCGGAAACAGACCAUGUAUCUUGAUGAUUCUUCUUCUGUCUUUCCUGACGGAAUAUUCAGCUCAAACGUGACGAUGGAUGUUGAAGUUGAACUGUAACACACAGUUUUGUGGGCAGCCGAUGGCUCCCACAUGGAAGCUAAACUGAGGGCAAGAGACUCCGCUCACAAACCAUGAACAAGAACGCCUCACAAGACACCAAACCCAUUCCACACCGUUUUACUGUCUCAGCCACGCUGCAUCUACACUGUCAGUCAGAGGUCAGAAGGUCAUUCUGCUCACUCGCCGCCAGCAGGAGCAGCCAACACUGACGUGACUCCUGCUCCUCUCCUGGUUCACAGGCUCAACAAGGACAGGGCAGAUGAUUCACAGAAAUGGAUAAAAAGCUUGAAUCCGAGGGUUGACGACGCGACAGCCGACGUGCUUCCUGGUUCUCCUGGGAGGCUCCUCACUUGAAGAGCUGGAGCUUGCGCAGCAGCGGCUGCACCGCCUCUUUAGGACACGGCUUCAGAGCCAGACAUGUGGGGAUGUUUUCCGGCUGCUCCACCCAGAGCUUGUGAGCCACUCCAGCCUGGGUGAGACUUGCAGACAAGCUGCAGAGCGACGCCUCAUCAGGAGCCUUCAGGAAACACAGCACAGAGAGGAUUAGCAGGGAGCUUGGCAGAUUUAGCAGUGUCCCAGUAAACUCUUGGUCAGAGGAGGAGGAAGAGGAGGUGCAAGGGAUAGAUCUGGGGUCACCAAGCCUUUAGCAACCGCCAGCUGCUCCAGGGGCUCCGUGUGACCCCUCUGGGUGGGUCCAGCACACACUUCUGAAUUCACUAUGGAUGAUGAAUGACGUUCCUCUCCAAUACUAGCUUUCACAAUAACUACCAAGGGUGUGACAAAAAAAACAAACAGUCAUUUAAAUUAUGAUAUCAUUUAUGAUUCACCUAUCAGCCCACAUCACCAUGAAAACAGUAUUUGGGAUUUCAUAUGUGACAUUUAUAUUUGUGUCGUUUACAGAGCAUGUGAAGUUACAAACUGCAUUUCCCUCUGGAUUCGUAAAGUCUUACGGAUGUCGGAGAGCCCUGGUGCAGAGGAGCUUGAUUUUAAACCCAGGUGUUACGGAAUAUAUUGAAACCAUUGCUGUACGCCGAUAUUAGCUUGACGCUCUCUAAUCUGAUUAGUGUUCUGAAAACAAGGCCAGUUUUUCCUCAGGUUCUAACUGCAGCCGCCCGACUCUCCUCCACACUCCCGGUGCAAGUCAGGGCUCGGAGCUGGAACCUACCCCGAGCACCACCUUGUGCAUGUGGUCCAGGUCCUCCAGGUAGCGCUGCGUGUCCGGGUCACAGUAGUGCAGGUGGACGGCGGCGGUGGCCGCGUGACACGCCUGCGUGAUCACGGCCCCCAGGGGCCAGGACAGCUGGCGGACCAGAUCCGCCCGGACCACCACAUACUGCACCAGGCGGCUGGGAGCGGCGGCGGCGGCUCCGGCUCCUGUGGCGGCCAUGCUGGAGGUGACCCGGAAGUGGGUCAGCGCUUGUUUAUCUUCCGGUGCAGCCACGUCAUCAAGCGGUGACCGCAGUGACAGACGCGACCGUCCUCAACAUGACCGCCAUGUUGUCUGCGUCCAACACGGAGCGGACUCGCAGGUUUUAGACAGUUGUCACUGUCACUGCCCGAUGUGGUCCGCCUGCCUGAUGAGGUCCGCCGGAAGUUCCGGGACUGGAACCGGAUGUUAGAAACACGCAUGCGGAAGGUCUACGAAUGGUGUAUAGCGGUUAUAUCGCGUAAAUUUGAAUAGUUGUCAAAAUAGUCUGUAUUUAACAGUAAAAUCUGGAAAUUAUACGUUUUCACGCUCAUGCGUCGCACGAUCUGGUCCGUCUGCCUGAUGUGGUCCGCCGGAAAUGAUGGUGCUGAAGAAAGGAAGUUACCGACGAACGGGUUUACGGUCAGUUGGUGAAACAUGCGCAAUUUCCGGUUCCAGUCCCGGGAUUUCCGGCGGACGCAUCAGGCAGUGACACCUGUCAAACUAGUGAUAAUAGUAACAUCUAGAAGGAAGUUGGACUUCAGCGGUACUUUCCGGUCCAGAGGUUCCGCAUUUCAUCAUACAUCUUCAUCUUCACACCGGACUCCAAAAUCAUCAUCACCACAGUCCAGACGACCUCGGUCCCGUUGCAAAAUCUGCUGAGACAUCUACGCGGCUGGAACAAACCUCCCACAGUCCUGAGACCAGAACCCGGCCCCUACUCUAUGAUGCUGCGUGGGCCCACGUACAGAGAGAGAGCACAAUCACCUACCGUAUAGCCUUGACACAUAUAUGUCUUACUGUGGUCCACCGACGGCCAUUAGCAGCAUGAUGACCAGCGUCUGGGUUGUCGUCUACUUCCAAGGAAAGCCGAUCAGAAAGUAAGGAAACGGAAACAUCAAAGAUACGGAUGAUCAUCGUCACUGUACGACCGGAGGAGACACGUCCACAGUCCAACAAUCUGAGAGAAAACCAUCAGACCGCUCCACUCCAGCUCAGCGUGAAAACCAAUGACAUCAAGUUCUGUGCGUUGGAUUCCAGCGACGGACAGUGAAUCGAACGGAUGGAUGACGAUAAAGAACAAAGAGUUGGUGGUCAAUCAAAAGGAAAAGUACUGAGCGAACCACUCCUGACGCUGGACGUCGGCAGAGUCGAUGGCAGAGUCCUUGGUUUCAGGAGGGCUGAGAGAGAGAGAGAGAGGAGAGAGAGGACCACUUAUCGCUCAGCAUCAGCCAGAAUGGAGCACAAACACCGGGACCACGUUCACCUCGGGUUUCUCUUUUAUUGAUUCAUUUCUAUUUCAGGUCAUUUCGAGAAGGGACCAUUCUAAAUCCCAAUCGUCACUUGAUGAACUUGGGUGGAGAGGUCGGCCUGUGACCGAGCGGGUGUUUGUGUCGUCGCCUCCCUGAGCAAGGUUCUUCCCCUCAGCCAUCAGCAUCUUCAACACUGAAUUACUCAACGCACCUCAGUCCUUUUCUGCUUUUUGCACUUCCAGUCUGCACAGUGUUUUUUAUUUCUACUCUUAUUAUUAUUAUUGUGAGUGUGAAUAAUAGAAAAUAUACUCUUCUAUUUCCUACCUGACAAACAAAUUCCCCGCAUGUUAAAACCUACUUGGCCACUAAGCUGAUGAAGACACUUGGCCCUGGUUUGCUCCCGACGGUUCCGCUGGAGCCCAGUGCCACCAGUGUGUGAAUCGACACUACCACAGUCAACUGAAAAUCGUUUCCAUUGACUGACUGAUCAAAAUAACAAGGAGCGUUUUUCAUAAAGCUACACUGUCUGCUCACAAAACGAACCAAAACGAACUGAAAUUGCAGCGAAACCGUCCUUUGUUUAUUUCAUGAAGAAGCAUUUUGAGAUGAUUUCAAAUGGAUCUGGUUUCACCACAGGGGUCGGCAGGUGCCGCGUCCGUGACGUCACUUCCCGCACGUGAUGCAUGGUUUUUACAUGCGGUCUGUUGUUGUGGCUCUUAUGACUGAGGGUUUUGCCACCUAUUUCAACCUUGGUCCAACACCCCAAUACCAAAACUGAAACUGAUCAAACCUAACUGAAUUUGAAAGACAACAUUUCUAAACUUAAAAAAACAAAAACAAUCGAAUAAAAGGAAUGAAAAAUCCUGUUCAAACCUUGGAGUGAGGGGGUGACGCUUUGGCUGCUGGAUAAACAUGCAAAGCGCUAUGUAGCUAAACGUCAUUGACCUCUACGUUAAAUAAUGAAUAGUACUUGGAAUUAAAAUAUCAUUACAAGUCUAUUCGUGGCGCGGGUCGGUUGGAAUUGUCGUGUUGACAACACUGCCAUCUCCUGGUGUCUCUUGGUAAAGCAGCACAGCUGUCCAGGCUCGCAUCGAGGUAAGGCCGCGCUUCAGCUGGACCAUUGUUUUGUUUUGUCUGAUCACAGUGAGAAAGCGUCUCGUGUUUUGCCCUUCAGACCCUGCAGCGAUGAACCUCAGCAGCUCAUGCAGGCGGCCGGCCCGUGACCUCUGGGGGCGGCGGCGGCGGUGGUGGUUCUCACGGAGACGGAAGCGUCAGGCACAUCGGAUGACAUGCGCGUGAAGCACCUGAGAGGUUCCACCACACACAGAACAGUCCAGCUCAGCAUGCAGGAGUGCGGCGGUGAGGGUGAGGAUGGGAUGGCGCAGCAGAACAAGACACAUCGCUGCAGCAGCUCCAGCAUGCUCCCACCUGCGGCGGACAGAGAAGAC
Synchiropus splendidus (mandarinfish) is the source of this 5580-nucleotide long non-coding RNA. RefSeq lists it as uncharacterized. The transcript is spliced from 4 exons. The record is from RefSeq and is a predicted model, not a curated record. Lineage: Eukaryota; Metazoa; Chordata; Actinopteri; Syngnathiformes; Callionymidae.